This 550-nucleotide ribosomal RNA is filed under the name uncultured bacterium. Its description in RNAcentral is "bacterial SSU rRNA". It matches the Rfam family "Bacterial small subunit ribosomal RNA", at positions 123 to 707 of the family's 1533-position model. The record is from RNAcentral.
AACCUACCCAAGGGUACGGAAUAACUCCGGGAAACCGGCGCUAAUACCGUAUACGUCCUUUUGGAGAAAGAUUUAUCGCCCCUGGAUGGGCCCGCGUUGGAUCAACUAGUUGGUGGGGUAAUGGCCUACCAAGGCGACGAUCCAUAGCUGGUCUGAGAGGAUGAUCAGCCACACUGGGACUGGGACACGGCCCAGACUCCUACGGGAGGCAGCAGUGGGGAAUAUUGGACAAUGGGCGCAAGCCUGAUCCAGCCAUGCCGCGUGAGUGAUGAAGGCCCUAGGGUUGUAAAGCUCUUUCAGUGGUGAAGAUAAUGACGGUAACCACAGAAGAAGCUCCGGCUAACUCCGUGCCAGCAGCCGCGGUAAUACGGAGGGAGCUAGCGUUGUUCGGAAUUACUGGGCGUAAAGCGCGCGUAGGCGGUCUAUAAAGUUGGGGGUGAAAUCCCGGAGCUCAACUCCGGAACUGCCUCCAAAACUGCUAGACUCGAGUUCGGAAGAGGUAAGUAGAAUUCCCAGUGUAGAGGUGAAAUUCGUAGAUAUUGGGAAGAAU